AAAUACUUCUUCAGUCAUCGCUUUCUCAAAAGACUUGCUUUUUAUUAGAAAAAGAAAAUAUGUUAUUCGCUUUAUUUAUUCAGUAAAUAAAUUUAACUAAAAGAGUUGAGGCAACGCAGUCUCGAAAAAUAUUAAAGGCAACCAAACAAAAAAGACAAGUAAAAAUAAAAAUAAAAAAUCAUACAAAAAUUGAUAAUUUUAUUCCUCACUCAAAGCUAAGUCACUAAAAGCUGCAAAACUCAGCCCAUUUUUUGGUCACGUUCUGAAUUUGUCCAAUAAUCAAAAAAUGGCCAAAUGAUUGGUUCCUAAAAUUUAUGUUAUUUAUUUCCCAUCAGAUCAUCUACCAACAGAUUGCGAUCUUGGUUAGAAGACUAUUGCUAAUCGUUUGUUUUAUUAGAUGACU
Molecule: long non-coding RNA, 403 nt
Filed under: Ananas comosus (pineapple)
Lineage: Eukaryota; Viridiplantae; Streptophyta; Magnoliopsida; Poales; Bromeliaceae
Description: long non-coding RNA (ACOM_LNC041529)
Source: RNAcentral